RNAcentral lists this unclassified non-coding RNA (373 nucleotides) under uncultured fungus. RNAcentral's name for it is "sequence contains ITS1". The stretch from base 1 to 105 matches the Rfam family "5.8S ribosomal RNA", at positions 50 to 154 of the family's 154-position model. Lineage: Eukaryota; Fungi. The record is from RNAcentral.
GAAACGCGAUAGGUAAUGUGAAUUGCAGAAUUCCGUGAAUCAUCGAAUCUUUGAACGCACAUUGCGCCUUCUGGUAUUCCGGUAGGCAUGCCUGUUUGAGCGUCAGCAAAACACCCUCAGUCUGAGUAUUUUUAUAUUUUUAUUCAGCACUGGUUUUGGGCAGCGGAUGCCGGUGGUUAUUACUUUCCACCUGCACCCUCCCUAAAAUUGCUGCACGACCGCAAGCCUCUUCUAGCCAGGUCAAUGGAGUGGUGUUACAAUCUUCCAGAAAGCCUGCUGGUAAACUGCUUUGCGGCGUUAAUCCUUAAUGCCUCCCUUGGUGGAGACUUGAAGUUUUGACCUCAGAUCAGACAAGGAUACCCGCUGAACUUAA